AGUGAACGCUGGCGGUAGGCCUAACACAUGCCAGUCGAACGGCAGCACAGUAAGAGCUUGCUCUUACGGGUGGCGAGUGGCGGACGGGUGAGGAAUACAUCGGAAUCUACUUUUUCGUGGGGGAUAACGUAGGGAAACUUACGCUAGUACCGCAUACGACCUACGGGUGAAAGCAGGGGAUCUUCGGACCUUGCGCGAUUGAAUGAGCCGAUGUCGGAUUAGCUAGUUGGCGGGGUAAAGGCCCACCAAGGCGACGAUCCGUAGCUGGUCUGAGAGGAUGAUCAGCCACACUGGAACUGAGACACGGUCCAGACUCCUACGGGAGGCAGCAGUGGGGAAUAUUGGACAAUGGGCGCAAGCCUGAUCCAGCCAUACCGCGUGGGUGAAGAAGGCCUUCGGGUUGUAAAGCCCUUUUGUUGGGAAAGAAAAGCAGCAGGUUAAUACCCCGCUGUUCUGACGGUACCCAAAGAAUAAGCACCGGCUAACUUCGUG
Molecule: ribosomal RNA, 492 nt
Filed under: uncultured bacterium
Lineage: Bacteria
Description: partial 16S ribosomal RNA
Rfam family: Bacterial small subunit ribosomal RNA
Source: RNAcentral